UAAAUAGCCAGGCUGGCUUUGGCUAGUCGUAGGCUUCUUAGAGGGACUGUUGGCGUCUAGUCAGCGGAAGUUUGAGGCAAUAACAGGUCUGUGAUGCCCUUAGAUGUUCUGGGCCGCACGCGCGCUACACUGACCAAGCCAGCGAGUUUAUUUUCCUUGGCCGAGAGGUCUG
RNAcentral lists this ribosomal RNA (172 nucleotides) under Tremellales sp. RNAcentral's name for it is "partial small subunit ribosomal RNA". It matches the Rfam family "Eukaryotic small subunit ribosomal RNA", at positions 1352 to 1544 of the family's 1831-position model. Lineage: Eukaryota; Fungi; Basidiomycota; Tremellomycetes; Tremellales. The record is from RNAcentral.